Molecule: transfer RNA, 76 nt
Filed under: Lentisphaerota bacterium
Lineage: Bacteria; Pseudomonadati; Lentisphaerota
Also listed under: 1 other name
Description: Lentisphaerae bacterium (anaerobic digester metagenome) tRNA-Ile
Rfam family: tRNA
About the family: Transfer RNA (tRNA) molecules are approximately 80 nucleotides in length. Their secondary structure includes four short double-helical elements and three loops (D, anti-codon, and T loops).
Source: RNAcentral
GGGCCCUUAGCUCAGCGGUCAGAGCUGGGGACUCAUAAUCCCUAGGUCGGGGGUUCAAGUCCCUCAGGGCCCACCA